AAGAUUAAGCCAUGCAUGUCUAAGUACAAACUAUAUUAAAGUGAAACCGCGAAAGGCUCAUUAAAUCAGUUAUGGUUCCUUAGAUCGUACCACAAUUACUUGGAUAACUGUGGUAAUUCUAGAGCUAAUACAUGCAAACAGAGCUCUGACCGGAGACGGAAGGAGUGCUUUUAUUAGAUCAAAACCAAUCGGCGGCGGUAGCAUUUCGGUGCUAUCGUUCGUCGCUCAAUAAAUGGUGAAUCUGAAUAACUUUAUGCUGAUCGCAUGGUCUUGCACCGGCGACGCAUCUUUCAAAUGUCUGCCUUAUCAACUGUCGAUGGUAGGAUCUGCGCCUACCAUGGUUGUAACGGGUAACG
RNAcentral lists this ribosomal RNA (356 nucleotides) under Pterostichus colasi. RNAcentral describes it as "SSU rRNA". It matches the Rfam family "Eukaryotic small subunit ribosomal RNA", at positions 40 to 364 of the family's 1831-position model. The record is from RNAcentral. Lineage: Eukaryota; Metazoa; Arthropoda; Insecta; Coleoptera; Carabidae.